GAAUCAGUACGCUGGUCGUGCCUUCGGUAUGUACUGGUGUCACUGGUUUCUCCCUUCUGAAGAACCAUCAUGCCAUUCACUUGGUGUGGUGGGAAAUCAGGACUGUUACUUUGAAAAAAUUAGAGUGUUCAAAACAAGCUUAUGCUUGAAUACAUUAGCAUGGAAUAACGGAAUAGGACU
RNAcentral lists this ribosomal RNA (180 nucleotides) under uncultured Glomeromycotina. Its description in RNAcentral is "partial small subunit ribosomal RNA". Lineage: Eukaryota; Fungi; Glomeromycota. The record is from RNAcentral.